GCCCGUUGUGGUGUAAUGGUAAAACACACGAUAUCUCCAAAAUGAGAGCGCAAACAAUGUGGGUUCAAAUCCCACCCAACAGGCG
RNAcentral lists this transfer RNA (85 nucleotides) under Dactylellina haptotyla CBS 200.50. RNAcentral describes it as "tRNA-Trp (CCA) (tRNA-Trp-CCA-4-1)". Lineage: Eukaryota; Fungi; Ascomycota; Orbiliomycetes; Orbiliales; Orbiliaceae. The record is from RNAcentral.